Molecule: unclassified non-coding RNA, 316 nt
Filed under: Hevea brasiliensis (rubber tree)
Lineage: Eukaryota; Viridiplantae; Streptophyta; Magnoliopsida; Malpighiales; Euphorbiaceae
Source: RNAcentral
GGUGGCUGUGGAUGUGGACUCUGGACAGAAUGCCUGGCUCUCCUAUAAACUGCAGAAAGCCACAGACAGGGCGCUGUUUGAAGUGGGCUCACAGAAUGGAGAAAUAAGAACUAUCCGCCAAGUCACUGAUAAAGACGCAGUGAAACAAAGACUGACUGUUAUAGUGGAGGACAACGGGCAGCCCUCUCGUUCAGCUACAGUCGUUGUUAACGUGGCGGUGGCGGACAGCUUCCCUGAAGUGCUGUCGGAGUUCACUGACUUUACGCACGACAAGGAGUACAACGACAACCUGACUUUUUACUUAGUGUUGGCUCUG